Molecule: long non-coding RNA, 426 nt
Filed under: Androctonus crassicauda
Lineage: Eukaryota; Metazoa; Arthropoda; Arachnida; Scorpiones; Buthidae
Source: RNAcentral
CUUUUUGAUUGGAAAUUUUUACAAAAUAUACAAUAUCAGAGAAUGCAAUAAAAUUAGAUUAUGUUGAUAAAUUUAAAUAAUAUGCAAUUAAUAGUUAUUAAAAUUGAAGAAUGCUUCAGGAGGUUUUUUAUUGGCCUUGUUUGCAUACCAAUUCCAUUGAUGAUCCACUUCCAAAUGACCUUGGAUGACCUUAGCUCAAAAACACCCCUCUUUCCAAAUAAAACAGGAACUGUGAUUGUUUUGAUAUUGGGAAAAGAUUUAUGGUUGUCUGAAAUUGUUUUUUUUUGUCUAUUUAUAUAAUUUUGAUAGAAGUAUCUAAUUAUAUAAUAAUUUAUUAAAAAUUGGCACAUAUAAUGUACAAAAAUGAUUUUUUUCCAUUAUAGAAGACUUAUCAGAAAUAAAAACUUAAUUCAAUCAGAAGAUGUA